CAUAUUCUCUGAGGAGGAAAGCAGGGGAUCGAAAGACCUUGCGCUUUGGGAGCGGCCGAUGUCUGAUUAGCUAGUUGGUGGGGUAAAGGCCUACCAAAGCUUCGAUCAGUAGCUGGUCUGAGAGGACGGCCAGCCACACUGGGACUGAGACACGGCCCAGACUCCUACGGGAGGCAGCAGUGGGGAAUUUUGGACAAUGGGCGCAAGCCUGAUCCAGCAAUGCCGCGUGAGUGAAGAAGGCCUUCGGGUUGUAAAGCUCUUUCAGUCGAGAAGAAAAAGCUGCAGUGAAUAACUGUAGUUCAU
This 303-nucleotide ribosomal RNA is filed under the name uncultured beta proteobacterium. Its description in RNAcentral is "bacterial SSU rRNA". It matches the Rfam family "Bacterial small subunit ribosomal RNA", at positions 172 to 476 of the family's 1533-position model. The record is from RNAcentral. Lineage: Bacteria; Pseudomonadati; Pseudomonadota; Betaproteobacteria.